AGAGUUUGAUCCUGGCUCAGGAUGAACGCUAGCUACAGGGCUUAACACAUGCAAGUCGAGGGGCAGCAUUUCAGUUUGCUUGCAAACUAAAGAUGGCGACCGGCGCACGGGUGAGUAACACGUAUCCAACCUGCCGAUAACUCGGGGAUAGCCUUUCGAAAGAAAGAUUAAUAUCCGAUGGUAUAUUUUCUCCGCAUGGUGAGAAUAUUAAAGAAUUUCGGUUAUCGAUGGGGAUGCGUUCCAUUAGUUUGUUGGCGGGGUAACGGCCCACCAAGACUACGAUGGAUAGGGGUUCUGAGAGGAAGGUCCCCCACAUUGGAACUGAGACACGGUCCAAACUCCUACGGGAGGCAGCAGUGAGGAAUAUUGGUCAAUGGACGAGAGUCUGAACCAGCCAAGUAGCGUGAAGGAUGACUGCCCUAUGGGUUGUAAACUUCUUUUAUAUGGGAAUAAAGUAUUCCACGUGUGGGAUUUUGUAUGUACCAUAUGAAUAAGGAUCGGCUAACUCCGUGCCAGCAGCCGCGGUAAUACGGAGGAUCCGAGCGUUAUCCGGAUUUAUUGGGUUUAAAGGGAGCGUAGGUGGAUUGUUAAGUCAGUUGUGAAAGUUUGCGGCUCAACCGUAAAAUUGCAGUUGAUACUGGA
RNAcentral lists this ribosomal RNA (642 nucleotides) under uncultured Bacteroidota bacterium. RNAcentral's name for it is "bacterial SSU rRNA". It matches the Rfam family "Bacterial small subunit ribosomal RNA", at positions 8 to 637 of the family's 1533-position model. Lineage: Bacteria; Pseudomonadati; Bacteroidota. The record is from RNAcentral.